Molecule: long non-coding RNA, 530 nt
Organism: Ornithorhynchus anatinus (platypus)
Lineage: Eukaryota; Metazoa; Chordata; Mammalia; Monotremata; Ornithorhynchidae
Exons: 4
Source: RefSeq, a predicted model, not a curated record
AGAAGGACAGAAAUCAUGUCUAUCUCUUGAGUCUGGGGCUCUGAAAGCAUCUUCUCUCUCAGCUUCUGUCUGUAAAGCUUCUAGAACUUUCAGAGUUGUGCUUAUUUUUGCGAAUGGCCUGGACUGUGUUCGUGAUGGUAUUUUAUUUGGGAGACUGAAAGGUAGGUGGCAAAUAAAAGGACACGAGGUUUGAGAGGUCCCAAUUAGACCAAUGGAUAUAGAAAAAACAGAUUGGCUGUGUUCCUAUUUCCCACAAGAUGCACAACUGCAGGCACCAGGAAGGUGGAACUAAAACACUCAACAGUGACCAAAAGGGAAAUGUCUUGUUUGUGGAAUGGGCAGGAGCAGAAAAUGUAAAUGGGAUCGGCAUACAUGGUCAGUGCCUGGGUUUGUUCGCAAAAACUGUGCAGAUGGAAAGAACCUAAUUCAGUUCAAGAUACUACACUUAUCAUCUUUCUGAAGACUAGAAUUCAGCAGAAAAGAUUGAUAAAUGCACAGGAAAGAAGCUUAAUAAAGGAUGCAUGACCAAG